GACGAACGCUGGCGGCGUGCCUAAUACAUGCAAGUAGAACGCUGAAGGAGGAGCUUGCUUCUCUGGAUGAGUUGCGAACGGGUGAGUAACGCGUAGGUAACCUGCCUGGUAGCGGGGGAUAACUAUUGGAAACGAUAGCUAAUACCGCAUAAUAGUAGAUGUUGCAUGACAUUUGCCUAAAAGGUGCAAUUGCAUCACUACCAGAUGGACCUGCGUUGUAUUAGCUUGUUGGUGGGGUAACGGCUCACCAAGGCGACGAUACAUAGCCGACCUGAGAGGAGGAGCGGCAAAACUGGGACUGGGACACGACCCAGACCCCUGCGGGUGAGAGCCGGAGGGAACCUUCAGGAAUGGACGGAAGGCUGACCGAGCAACGCCGCGUGAGUGAAGGAGGUUUUCGGAUCGUGAAGCUCUGUUGUAAGAGAAGAACGAGUGUGAGAGUGGAAAGUUCACACUGUGACGGUAUCUGACCAGAAAGGGACGGCUAACUACGUG
This 495-nucleotide ribosomal RNA is filed under the name uncultured bacterium. Its description in RNAcentral is "partial 16S ribosomal RNA". It matches the Rfam family "Bacterial small subunit ribosomal RNA", at positions 28 to 507 of the family's 1533-position model. The record is from RNAcentral.